AUUUCCAGUUAAAACUCUUUUACAAUGUAAAUAAACGGUUUAAGCAUAAAUAAAAAUAAAAUGUGUUGGAUUCGGUGCAUCCUCCACCACCACCGAUGCAGCAACACUGUUUCCCUUGCCCAUUGCAUUAUCAAUAGACAAACCAAUGUUCUUCUAUUCCUCGUGGGCGUGGAAACAGCUAUUCAUGCAGAUGAUUGAACAAACAAACCACAAACGCCUAACCAUACCUGCUAGUGGCCACAAAGAGUUUACCUACUUGUGGGUUGUAAGUAAGAAAGUUAGACCUACCAUGUUGGUUUGGGUACCAUGUUGGUGUGUUUACUAUGUUGGUUUGGGUACCAUGUUGGUUCGGGUACCAUGUUAGUUACGGUACCAAGUUGGUUCGAGUACCAUGUUAGUUUGGGUACCAGGUUUGUUUGAGUACCAUAUUGGUUUGGCAAGUCAAUAUUGAGGAGGAGGACAACGCCAGUACUGCAUUUUCAGUUGGUUAUUUAGGGUGCUCCAAAUGCGAGCGUGUGCUAUUCAGUCUCGUAAG
This is a long non-coding RNA of Dreissena polymorpha, 535 nucleotides long. RefSeq lists it as uncharacterized. The transcript has 3 exons. The record is from RefSeq and is a predicted model, not a curated record. Lineage: Eukaryota; Metazoa; Mollusca; Bivalvia; Myida; Dreissenidae.